This 270-nucleotide long non-coding RNA is filed under the name Rattus norvegicus (Norway rat). RNAcentral describes it as "long non-coding RNA NONRATT028269". The record is from RNAcentral. Lineage: Eukaryota; Metazoa; Chordata; Mammalia; Rodentia; Muridae.
UGCCAAAAUACUCAAUAAAAUUCUCACAAACAGAAUCCAAGAACACAUCAAAGUGAUUAUUCACCAUGAUCAAGUAGGCUUCAUCCCAGGGAAAUCCAUCAAUGUUGUCUACUAUAUAAACAAACUCAAGCAAAGAAACCACAUGAUCAUCUCAUUAGAUGCUGAGAUAGCACUUGACAAAAUUCAGCACCCCUUCAUGUUAAAAGUCCUGGAAAGAUCAGGAAUUCAAGGCUCAUAUUUAAACAUAGUAAAAGCAAUAUACAACAAACC